RNAcentral lists this ribosomal RNA (777 nucleotides) under uncultured bacterium. RNAcentral describes it as "bacterial SSU rRNA". It matches the Rfam family "Bacterial small subunit ribosomal RNA", at positions 67 to 838 of the family's 1533-position model. The record is from RNAcentral.
CAGCACGGGAGCUUGCUCCUGGUGGCGAGUGGCGAACGGGUGAGUAAUAUAUCGGAACGUAUCCAAUAAUGGGGGAUAACUAGUCGAAAGAUUAGCUAAUACCGCAUACGCCCUGAGGGGGAAAGCUGGGGAUCUUCGGACCUAGCGUUAAUGGAGCGGCCGAUAUCUGAUUAGCUAGUAGGUGAGGUAAAAGCUCACCUAGGCGACGAUCAGUAGCUGGUCUGAGAGGACGACCAGCCACACUGGAACUGAGACACGGUCCAGACUCCUACGGGAGGCAGCAGUGGGGAAUUUUGGACAAUGGGCGCAAGCCUGAUCCAGCCAUUCCGCGUGAGUGAAGAAGGCCUUCGGGUUGUAAAGCUCUUUCGCAAGGGAAGAAAACUUAACCUCUAACAUAGGUUGAGGCUGACGGUACCUUGAUAAGAAGCACCGGCUAACUACGUGCCAGCAGCCGCGGUAAUACGUAGGGUGCGAGCGUUAAUCGGAAUUACUGGGCGUAAAGCGUGCGCAGGCGGCCUGAUAAGUCAGAUGUGAAAUCCCCGAGCUCAACUUGGGAACUGCGUUUGAAACUAUCAAGCUAGAAUAUGUCAGAGGGGGGUAGAAUUCCACGUGUAGCAGUGAAAUGCGUAGAGAUGUGGAGGAAUACCAAUGGCGAAGGCAGCCCCCUGGGAUAAUAUUGACGCUCAUGCACGAAAGUGUGGGGAGCAAACAGGAUUAGAUACCCUGGUAGUCUACGCCUCUAAACGAUGUCUACUAGUUGUUGGUGGAGUAAAAUCC